RNAcentral lists this long non-coding RNA (656 nucleotides) under Vigna radiata. RNAcentral's name for it is "long non-coding RNA (VRAD_LNC008353)". The record is from RNAcentral. Lineage: Eukaryota; Viridiplantae; Streptophyta; Magnoliopsida; Fabales; Fabaceae.
GUAUGUUUUGUAGUAUCUCUUUGCUUGUGUAGUUCCUAUCAAGGAAAAAAUGCUUUAUUCAAAAGUUUGUGCUGAUUCAGAAAGACGUUAUGAGAUACAAAGACAUUCUUAAAAUGUUUCCUUGCUACUUUUUGUCUAGCCAUUUGUACAACAACACAAUUUUUUUUUGCAUAAACAUAGUAACUGUUAUAAUAUUUUAUUAUUAUUGCAAAAGUNAAAACGGUUUGCAACGUUUAUAUUUCAAUUAAUUGGCAACGGAAAGUUUUAUCACAAUGUUAAAUGCAUUGCAACGUUAUUUUUCAACAUUCAAAUUAUUUUAAAUUAAAUCAUUUAUGUUUUUUAAUUUCUUUUAAUGUCUUGUUUCCUUUCCUCCCCCUAUAAAUAGGGAGCUCCUCCUCCAUUCCAAGACACACCAAAAAAUCAUUCUUCUCUUUUCUGAGUUUUAUUCUCUAGCUCUUUUCUCUCUUCUAAAAUAUUCUGGGUUGUUCUUAUACUCUUUUAAGAGUUCCUUGCUAGUUCUGAGAUCCUCAGAAAUAUUCUGAGAAGUUCCUGUUGUAUCCUGGGGGACUUGCGCACACCGCGGAUAAGUCCUUAAGGACAGUGACUCUACACGCCUCAGGAAAAUUUGUUCGUGAUUCUGUCAGCCUUUUACAACA